This 269-nucleotide ribosomal RNA is filed under the name uncultured prokaryote. RNAcentral's name for it is "partial 16S ribosomal RNA". It matches the Rfam family "Bacterial small subunit ribosomal RNA", at positions 524 to 792 of the family's 1533-position model. The record is from RNAcentral.
GACGAAGGUGGCGAGCGUUGUUCGGUAUCACUGGGCUUAAAGCGUGUGUAGGCGGAAGCGUAAGCGUUCUGUGAAAUCCCCCGGCUCAACCGGGGAAUGGCUGGACGAACUGCGCUUCUUGAGGCAAGUAGGGGUGCACGGAACUCUUGGUGGAGCGGUGGAAUGCGUAGAUAUCAAGAGGAACGCCGGUGGAGAAGUCGGUGCACUGGGCUUGUCCUGACGCUGAGACACGAAAGCGUGGGGAGCGAACGGGAUUAGAUACCCCCGUA